This is a long non-coding RNA of Protobothrops mucrosquamatus (brown spotted pit viper), 333 nucleotides long. RefSeq lists it as uncharacterized. The transcript is spliced from 3 exons. The record is from RefSeq and is a predicted model, not a curated record. NCBI's taxonomy places the organism in Eukaryota, Metazoa, Chordata, Lepidosauria, Squamata, Viperidae.
CUACUAUACAGAAUGGAUUUUAUUCCUCACCGUACAGUAUUGCUACAAACCGCAUGAUUCCACAGACAUCUAUCACGCCAUUCAUUGCUGCUUCCCCUGUCUCCACAUAUCAGGUUCAGAGUACUUCAUGGAUGCCCCAUCCGUCAUAUGUUAUGCAACCAACAGUAAGUAAACACAUAAAACUGCCUUUCUUGUUUUAUUAAAAAUUAUUCAGACUCUGUCCACUGCUCUUGCUUAAACAGAUUUGUUAAACUGACUGUUUAUUCAAGUGAUCUGAACUACAAAGCAUUAAAAUAUUACAGGGAUAAUUAAUGGAAUCUUUUGAGGAUCAUU